Long non-coding RNA from Nicotiana tabacum (common tobacco), 632 nucleotides. RefSeq lists it as uncharacterized. The record is from RefSeq and is a predicted model, not a curated record. NCBI's taxonomy places the organism in Eukaryota, Viridiplantae, Streptophyta, Magnoliopsida, Solanales, Solanaceae.
UUAAAAAUCUUUUCUAUUUUCUUAAACUUCAUGCCCAGUCAAAUGGGUUCACAUUUGAGGAGGAGGAGAAAAAAAAACUUGAAUCCCCUCCUUUAACCGUAAGCUUCAGCCGCCAUCUCUUAGAAGCUUACUGUUUUCACUACCCUAAACAAUUUCUCUAAAAUCUAAUGUUCUCAUUUUGCAACCUUUCAUUUUCUAUUUGGUUCUCUUUUAGCCAUAGCAGAUCCCUUAAUUUGCUCGCUUCAACGUUCAUAGUUGUUUGAAGAAGCGAGUUCGAGGUCGGAGUUCAAUAGUAUAUCUAAGAUUUGCGCCUCGGUUCGCUGCCCGCAAAAAGCAAAUGGAGUCUUAAUUCGAGACUCUUGCAAUGAAGUCUCAUAGUGAGGCUCGACGCUACCACCACUGCCAUCUUAUAGAAUCAUCACAUAUCAUCUUCCUUAGGAGUGUCGGGCAUCAAGAAAAACAAGCCAAAUGCUUGGGGAUGUUUAUGCCAUCCUUUUCUUUUAUUAUCUAUUGUAUCUAAUCUUUUAUGAUUUUGAUUCAUUUAUUUGUUUGGUUUGCAUCUCAACUGUGGAUUUAAUCAUCUAGGUUCUCUAUUCUCUAGUAUUUAUAUAAUCUCCGGGCAUUUAACAUCA